GGCAGCUGGGGCAUGGGAAAGGAUAGGGCGAGGCAAAGCUGGGAUUAACCCUCUGCGGGGGGAGCUCAGGCCUGAUCAUCCACAGGACACCGUAUACUGACAGACAGAGCCGGGUGCAGUGAGGGACGCCGUAUACUGACAGACAGAGCCGGGUGCAGUGAGGGAUGCCGUAUACUGACAGAGCUGGGAGCAGUGAGGGACGCCGUAUACUGACAGAGCUGGGUGCAGUGAGGGACGCCGUAUACUGACAGAGCUGGGUGCAGUGAGGGACGCCGUAUACUGACAGACAGAGCUGGGAGCAGUGAGGGA
Non-coding RNA from Pelobates cultripes (western spadefoot toad), 309 nucleotides. The record is from the annotation of a GenBank genome assembly. NCBI's taxonomy places the organism in Eukaryota, Metazoa, Chordata, Amphibia, Anura, Pelobatidae.